CCUGGUUGAUCCUGCCAGUAGUUAUAUGCUUGUCUUGAAGAUUAAGCCAUGCAUGUCUAAGUAUAAGCCACUUUAUACUGGUGCAACUGCAGAAGGCUCAUUAAAACAGUUAUAGUUUAUUUGAUGAUCACCUACUACAUGGAUAACUGAAGUAAAUCUAGAGCUAAUACAUGCAUCAAAUCCCUUCUGGGACGUAUUUAUUAUCUCAAACCAAUACGCCUCGGCGUACCUGGUGAAUCAUAAUAACUUUUUAAUCGCACAGAUUCACUCUGGCGAUAUUUCAUUCAAGUUUCUGACCUAUCAGCUUUAAAUCGUAGUGUAUUGGACUACGAUGGCUUUGACGGGUGACGGAGAAUUAGGGUUCGAUUCCGGAGAGGGAGCCUGAGAAACGGCUACCACAUCUAAGGAAGGCAGCAGGCGCGCAAAUUACCCAAUUGGAAUUUCCAGAGGUAGUGAAGAUAAAUAACAAUGCCAAAGCUUUCAGCUUCUGGUAAUUGGAAUGUGAACAAUUUAAAUCCCUUAUCGAGUAUCCAUUGGAGGGCAAGUCUGGUGCCAGCAGCCGCGGUAACACCAGCUCCAAUAGCGUAUAUUAAAGUUGCUGCAGUUAAAAAGCUCGUAGUUGGAUAUGUAGCUGGACUGAACUGGCCUGCUCUGUAAUGGAGUGUGUGCCUAUUCAUCCAGUUAAUUUUCUGAAUAGUUUCUUUCACGAGAAACUCUUUCGGAUCCUUUACUUUGAAAAAAUAAGAGUGUUCAAAGCAAGCUUUAUGCCUUGAAUUCAUUAGCAUGGAAUAAUAAAAUAGGACUUUGGCCUAUUUUGUUGGUUAAAGGACCAAAGUAAUGAUUGAUAGGGACAGUUGGGGGCACCUGUAUUGAACGGCCAGAGGUGGAAUUCUUGGAUUCGUUCAAGACAAACUGCUGCGAAGGCGCUUGCCAAGGAUGUCUUCUUUAAUCAAGAACGAAAGUUGGGGGAUCGAAGACGAUUAGAUACCGUCGUAGUCUCAACCAUAAACUAUGCCAACUAAGGAUCAGUGAACGUUAUUCAAACUUCACUGGGACUUUAUGAGAAAUCAAAGUGUUUGGGUUCUGGGGGGAGUCUGGUCGCAAGUCUGAAACUUAAAGGAAUUGACGGAAGGGCACACAAGGAGUGGAGCCUUCGGCUUAAUUUGACUCAACACGGGAAACCUUACCAGGUCCAGAGACGCGAAAGAUUGACAGACUGCAGCUCUUUCUUGAUUGCGUCGUUAGUGGUGCAUGGCCGUUCUUAGUUGGUGGAGUGAUCUGUCUGGUUAAUUCCGUAAACGAACGAGACCAAGACCUACUAACUAGUCACACAUAGUCUACUAUGCUGUGUACUUCUUAGAGGGACUGAA
RNAcentral lists this ribosomal RNA (1370 nucleotides) under metagenome. RNAcentral describes it as "SSU rRNA". It matches the Rfam family "Eukaryotic small subunit ribosomal RNA", at positions 3 to 1424 of the family's 1831-position model. The record is from RNAcentral.